This 204-nucleotide ribosomal RNA is filed under the name Triticum aestivum (bread wheat). RNAcentral describes it as "partial small subunit ribosomal RNA". The record is from RNAcentral. Lineage: Eukaryota; Viridiplantae; Streptophyta; Magnoliopsida; Poales; Poaceae.
AUGUGCAUGAUUAAUUUAACUCCAGCGGCGUCGGAGGAACUACAUUGCUGCACAGACCACCACAGCUGGGGCAACGGGUUGAAGAACAUCGGCUGCAGGCUGCCGGAGCAGAACGGCGAGUGCAACGCGUGGUGCCAGUCGGGCUGCCGCGGUGGCGACUGCAAGAUGCGUGACGGACUGCACUUCUGCCAUUGUUACUGCUGA